Molecule: non-coding RNA, 21 nt
Organism: Caenorhabditis elegans
Lineage: Eukaryota; Metazoa; Nematoda; Chromadorea; Rhabditida; Rhabditidae
Source: Ensembl
UAUUUUCGUUUUGCACCAAGA